Pleodorina starrii is the source of this 86-nucleotide non-coding RNA. NCBI's taxonomy places the organism in Eukaryota, Viridiplantae, Chlorophyta, Chlorophyceae, Chlamydomonadales, Volvocaceae. The record is from the annotation of a GenBank genome assembly.
GCUCAUAUAGCUCAGUCGGUUAGAGCGGUGGUCUUAUGCCUCGCGAAGGUAGCCGCAGGUCCGGGGUUCGAGCCCCCGUAUGAGCA